This 292-nucleotide ribosomal RNA is filed under the name uncultured bacterium. Its description in RNAcentral is "partial 16S ribosomal RNA". It matches the Rfam family "Bacterial small subunit ribosomal RNA", at positions 505 to 796 of the family's 1533-position model. The record is from RNAcentral.
GUGCCAGCCGCCGCGGUAAUACGAAGGGGGCUAGCGUUGCUCGGAAUGACUGGGCGUAAAGGGCGCGUAGGCGGCGGGAUUUGUCGGGCGUGAAAUUCCUGGGCUCAACCUGGGGGCUGCGUUCGAGACGGUCUUGCUAGAGGUCAGAAGAGGCUCGUGGAAUUCCCAGUGUAGAGGUGAAAUUCGUAGAUAUUGGGAAGAACACCGGUGGCGAAGGCGGCGAGCUGGUCUGAUACUGACGCUGAGGCGCGACAGCGUGGGGAGCAAACAGGAUUAGAAACCCGCGUAGUCC